RNAcentral lists this long non-coding RNA (1636 nucleotides) under Homo sapiens (human). RNAcentral's name for it is "HSALNT0093942". Lineage: Eukaryota; Metazoa; Chordata; Mammalia; Primates; Hominidae. The record is from RNAcentral.
CUGGACCGUGAAAUUCCUUUCAUGUACUGCUUGUCUUGACUAUGAAUGUGUUCAUGUCAGGUCCACCAACUGCUCAGCUAAUUCCUUGUUCUUCUUGGAAACUGAGGAAAAGAAGAGACACUCUCUUACUGCCCACUAGGUGGGUGAACAAUUCAGGGAUCCCGCCACAUUUGAAGAACCACAAAAGGAGGCUGAGUGAGCUGAAAGAAAUACACAAGUGGAUCAGCAACAUGACAGCUGCUGCAGUGAAAUCUGGAUUGUAAUAUGUCAGUUUCCAACCCAUCACAUACAAUCCAGACAGAGACAUAGCUUUUUGUCUGCCUCGUUGUGAUUUCCCUGUCUGGUGCGGUUUGGGUCACAUCUGUUGGCUGCAUUCUCAUCUUCAUGAGAUCUGCAUUGACUGAUAGUUUAAACCCCAUGUUUAUCUAUGUCUGCGGCUCUUAUUUCUCUCACAGGGAAGUCUCCAGAGAAGCCCAGUAUCCCCUGAUGUGAGAAUCUUGCUUGGUUUUAUUAAUCAACAGCCAGUGCCCACAUUCAGGCAGUUCUGUAUGUUUCAUGCUAGGAUAUUGGGUGUGUUUGUUACAUAUGUCUUUCAACAUUUAUUAUAUCAGAAAAAAUUUGAUAAAAACAUAAACCUACUUCCUGAAUAUAUCACACUGAUUUAAAACAGAACUUCUCACGAUGAACAACCCAAGCUCACUGUUUCUUUGACUUUUGCAUAUUUUCUACUCGUGCAUUAUUCUGUCAUUUCAUGAUAAAAUGAUUGAAAAACACUGCUUUAACCCUCCAAACUUGGCUAGUGGCUAUAUAAGGAUUUAAACUUCAGCAUGCCUGUCUAUGCUCAAGCCUUGGAAAUCCUUUUGCAUUUCAACCAUUGCUAAUGUUUCAUAUCUGCACAUUGAAUCUAACCCUUGAUUUCUUUUGUAGACAUAUGUAAUCUGAAGGCAUGCAACAUUUUGCAAAUGUUGGCCCAUAUUUUUAUUUCAUAAGGUCUUAUUUGGUCUGUCGACCAAGUUUUGAUUACUUCCAUAUUGCUCUUAAUUGCCUUAAUAUCCCCAAAGACUUUCCUAUUCUGUGCAUCCCUUUAUCUUUGCUUCUUUUAUCUCUUGCUGUGAGAGUACAAAAUUGCUGACAUAUUCAAUGUAUUUAAAUUCUGAGUGUUGCAGAAGAGUUUUCAAAUCUGUUUUAAUUUUCUGAUACUCAGCUGAGGACCAUUACACAUUCUGUUCAGCUAAUCUGUUUUUAAUCAUAUCUGUAAAUGCUAAAGUUGUACAUGAGAGAAAUGAUGCAUAAAGUAAAACCAGACCAAGUGUACUUUCGCAUAUGUAAAACUAAAUUCUUACUUUCUUCCACUUACAAGUUUUAUUUUCCUAUAGUCGUGUAGUCUUGACUUACACCAGAAUUUAUCUGCCAAGAGUUUAUGGUACUGUAGUGAAAAAAUCCCGACUUUUUCAUGUUUAAAAUAUUUAUCGAUUAGUACUUAUCCCCUUGCUAUCAUAAUAAAAUUUGAUGAACGUAAAUGUACUUUUAAUUCCAUUUCAUAAUGUAUCAGCUAAGAUAUAUUCAGUCAUAAAUAACUAAUAAUUGCAUUAAUAGUGGUAUUGGCCAUAAAGACAGUUGCUAACUUAACAUAAAU